UACGUAGGAUGCAAGCGUUGUCCGGAUUUACUGGGCGUAAAGCGCGCGCAGGCGGCACAUUAAGUAAGGUGUGAAAUAUCCCGGCUCAACCGGGAGGGUGCACUUUAGACUGAUGAGCUUGAGGUCGGUAGAGGGGGGUGGAAUUGCUGGUGUAGCAGUGAAAUGCGUAGAGAUCAGCAGGAACACCCGUGGCGAAGGCGGCCCCCUGGGCCGUACCUGACGCUGAGGCGCGAAGGCUAGGGGAGCGAACGGG
This 253-nucleotide ribosomal RNA is filed under the name uncultured bacterium. Its description in RNAcentral is "partial 16S ribosomal RNA". It matches the Rfam family "Bacterial small subunit ribosomal RNA", at positions 524 to 776 of the family's 1533-position model. The record is from RNAcentral.